CGUUGCGAAAGUCGGAGGUCGGGCCUCGUCGUUCGGCUAGUCGGGAACGGAAAGGGUCUUCCCGACCGACAUACCUUCGGUCGGACGGUGUCGGCAGUCGUCGGUCGGUGCAGUCAAUGUGGUCAGUAGAGUCGGACGUUGGUUAGGCGGGUCCGAUGGUGAGUCGGUGUGAGAGGGACCGGUCGGUAUAUCCCAACAGUUGCCUCCCUCCCCACUCCUGAGUCGGAUGUCAUGCUAGCCAGCGUCCUUGUGUGGGCGGCGGCUUCGGGCGAAAGGAGUGAAUAUCCAUCGCAUU
This 295-nucleotide long non-coding RNA is filed under the name Elaeis guineensis (African oil palm). Its description in RNAcentral is "long non-coding RNA (EGUI_LNC029234)". Lineage: Eukaryota; Viridiplantae; Streptophyta; Magnoliopsida; Arecales; Arecaceae. The record is from RNAcentral.